CGGAGAUGUGCUCAGGGGAAAAAAAAAUGGCAGAAAGGGAGGAGAGACCAUCCUGCAGCAAUGAAACAAAGCACACGUGUUAAUUUCAAAACAUGAUGGCUUUUUUCCUCCCACACUUUCCCCUCCUGAUGGCUGGUACCGGGAGCGGCUGAGGCCACACAGCCGCCGAAAUUAGCGAACCUCGUUGGGCUCAGCAGCUGAGCUCCGCCUGCUCUGCGGCUGCGGUUCUCUCAGUGAAGGCUCUCUCCUGCGGGCCGACGUUCUCAGACUCGUGUUAGGGGAUGCAUUCCUGCCGUGUUCGCAUCGAAUGGGGAGGCUUGACGCGGAAAAA
Long non-coding RNA from Oxyura jamaicensis (ruddy duck), 331 nucleotides. RefSeq lists it as uncharacterized. NCBI's taxonomy places the organism in Eukaryota, Metazoa, Chordata, Aves, Anseriformes, Anatidae. The record is from RefSeq and is a predicted model, not a curated record. The transcript has 2 exons.